This 316-nucleotide unclassified non-coding RNA is filed under the name fungal sp. RNAcentral's name for it is "partial internal transcribed spacer region". The stretch from base 1 to 46 matches the Rfam family "Eukaryotic small subunit ribosomal RNA", at positions 1786 to 1831 of the family's 1831-position model. The record is from RNAcentral. Lineage: Eukaryota; Fungi.
AAGUCGUAACAAGGUAACCGUAGGUGAACCUGCGGUUGGAUCAUUAAUGUAUGAUAUGGUAGUGGAAACUACUAUAAAAAAAAAGAAGUUUCAUAAGGGGGGGUUUGUAAAAAUUCCCCCUCUUGGAAUUUUCUUUCAUACCUUUUGUGAAUGGUUUUUGAAAAUGUAUUUGGCAUGAGAGAAAUUCAUUUCUCUAGUCCUUUACUGGUCAACAUGUCAAUUUACUAACUUAUUAAACAUUUUUUUUAGUACAUUGGUUUUAUUAAUUAUUUCAAUAAUUUUGAAACAACUUUUGACAACGGAUCUCUUGGCUCUC